RNAcentral lists this ribosomal RNA (372 nucleotides) under uncultured eukaryote. Its description in RNAcentral is "partial 18S ribosomal RNA". It matches the Rfam family "Eukaryotic small subunit ribosomal RNA", at positions 592 to 976 of the family's 1831-position model. The record is from RNAcentral.
CAAUAGCGUAUAUUAAAGUUGUUGCAGUUAAAAGCUCGUAGUUGAAUUUUUGCUUGCCGCCGAUGUCGGAACUUCCGUACGUUCGGCGGCGUGCAUCCUUGGGUGGAACCUGUGUGGCAUUAGGUUGUCGUGCAGGGGAUGCUCAUCGUUUACUGUGAAAAAAUUAGAGUGUUCAAAGCAGGCUUAUGCCGUUGAAUAUAUUAGCAUGGAAUAAUAAGAUAGGACCUUGGUACUAUUUUGUUGGUUUGCGCACCGAGGUAAUGAUUAACAGGGACAGUUGGGGGUAUUCGUAUUCCAUUGUCAGAGGUGAAAUUCUUGGAUUUCUGGAAGACGAACUACUGCGAAAGCAUUUACCAAGGAUGUUUUCAUUAA